This 69-nucleotide transfer RNA is filed under the name Chromis iomelas (half-and-half chromis). RNAcentral's name for it is "tRNA-Met". It matches the Rfam family "tRNA". Rfam says of the family: Transfer RNA (tRNA) molecules are approximately 80 nucleotides in length. Their secondary structure includes four short double-helical elements and three loops (D, anti-codon, and T loops). Further hydrogen bonds mediate the characteristic L-shaped molecular structure. tRNAs have two regions of fundamental functional importance: the anti-codon, which is responsible for specific mRNA codon recognition, and the 3' end, to which the tRNAs corresponding amino acid is attached (by aminoacyl-tRNA synthetases). tRNAs cope with the degeneracy of the genetic code in two manners: having more than one tRNA (with a specific anti-codon) for a particular amino acid; and 'wobble' base-pairing, i.e. permitting non-standard base-pairing at the 3rd anti-codon position. RNAcentral also lists the same sequence under 10 other names. Lineage: Eukaryota; Metazoa; Chordata; Actinopteri; Pomacentridae. The record is from RNAcentral.
AGUAAAAUCAGCUAAUUAAGCUCUUGGGCCCAUACCCCAAACAUGUUGGUUAAAAUCCUUCUUUUGCUA